This 253-nucleotide ribosomal RNA is filed under the name uncultured bacterium. RNAcentral describes it as "partial 16S ribosomal RNA". It matches the Rfam family "Bacterial small subunit ribosomal RNA", at positions 524 to 776 of the family's 1533-position model. The record is from RNAcentral.
UACGAAGGGUGCAAACGUUGCUCGGAAUUAUUGGGCGUAAAGAGCUCGUAGGCGGCUUGUCGCGUCGUCCGUGAAAACCCACAGCUCAACUGUGGGCUUGCGGUCGAUACGGGCAGGCUAGAGUUCGGUAGGGGAGACUGGAAUUCCUGGUGUAGCGGUGAAAUGCGCAGAUAUCAGGAGGAACACCGGUGGCGAAGGCGGGUCUCUGGGCCGAUACUGACGCUGAGGAGCGAAAGCGUGGGGAGCGAACAGG